This is a long non-coding RNA of Rhodamnia argentea, 96 nucleotides long. RefSeq lists it as uncharacterized. The transcript has 3 exons. Lineage: Eukaryota; Viridiplantae; Streptophyta; Magnoliopsida; Myrtales; Myrtaceae. The record is from RefSeq and is a predicted model, not a curated record.
GCUGGUCAAUGAUACUCGAACAUGUACUUAUUUUGAGUGCUUAUUUAUUUUCUAUUGGUAUCUAUGGAUUGAUCACGAGAGAUAGGAAGAGACGUC